Molecule: RNA transcript, 2464 nt
Organism: Triplophysa dalaica
Lineage: Eukaryota; Metazoa; Chordata; Actinopteri; Cypriniformes; Nemacheilidae
Exons: 5
Source: RefSeq, a predicted model, not a curated record
UUAAUCAGUCUCGAAUAAAAAAAUGACGCAGAGUCGUAAAGUGCCAUAUUCAGCACUCGCCGAUGACGUCACUCGUCGAUUAGCUCAGUGACAGCUCGCCGUGCGCACGCUCUUACCGCCGAUCUGUCGGUAGGCGACAGCUGACUUUCUCACAGGCCUCAAGUCAUUACGGAGCUAUGCGUAACACAAACAAUUCCGCGCUCCCAGAGUGUUUAUCUCGUGGCACAGAGCGCGGUGUGCCCGCACAUCAAAGUCCGCCCAGCGCUGCAGCAGCUGCGCUCGGAUCCUGUACACACCCUUCCUGUUUGCCGCGGUCUACCUUGGGGCUGUUAUGUUCCCAACAGAGCGAUGAUAACCCCCCUCUGCCUCGCUCCUUUCACUCCGGCCCGCAACACUACCACCGGCCACCGCCGCCUAAACAGUGUCCGUUUGAAAACAGCAGAACCAUACGUCACCUCAGUCCCUCGGCCCCGCUAAGAGCCGUGUUUCUAUGGUUACCUGCAGUAAGACCCAGGCUCUGGAUCUACCAUCGUUCAAAACCCCACCGCGCUCUUCAACCCUGGGUCAAGACCCUCAUAACGCUGUUUCCUCAGUCAGACUGGGCACAUUUCUCUGUGAGAGAGGGGCCAACUGAGCGUCCAGCUGCCAUCACACAAAAAAAUCUUCACAGGCGUGCGGCAGCCAUGGCGAGCUACAUCAAACGGUGCUGCUCAGACACCCCCAUACACUUAUAACUUCAGAGCCACAUUAAGACCUUUUGCCCCCCUCUGUCUACCAGACCACCACACAGGGUGCCCUUAAGAAUAUUUAAAAUGUUGUGACAUUUUAAAUCACAUAGGGGUGUGACACAAUCUCUCUCAUCUGUUUUAUAGUGUAUAAUCCGCACACAUAAAAGACCUGAACUGCACCUGCUGUGUUUGAAACGGUGAACAUUCAUCAGGCCGUGGAAAACUCAGUAGCUGAGCAUCUGGGAGCUGUCAUGGACACCUCACCUCCUGCAUUUCUUUCUGGUGCGAACGCAGCAAGAUUCCUGCAGCUGAUGGCGACCCUUCUGAUGACAGGAUUCUCCUCAAACUGAAGGCGUCCAGGGCAGCUGCUUCCCUUCUAGACAGAGUGACCAGAAGCUACUGAUCCGGGAACAGAGCCAGACAAAUUAUGCAAUAGCAUUAAAGUCAGAGAAAUUAGGAUCAUAUAUGAAUAGAUGUGGACGUUUGGAUGAAUUAAAAGCUUUUAUCUCAUAUGAAAGUAUAUAGUUAGAAGCGUUUGUUCAAAAUAUGUGUUAGAAAUGGAAGGAAACUGGGCAGCAGCCGUCUUUAUGUCACAAUCCGGGACAGCUAUUUUCUAUCUAUAGUAUAAAAUUCAAGUUUAACUGCAAUAUGUUUUUUGGGGGGAAAGACCAAAAUCUACAUAUCAGUGUUUCCAAUAUUAUGCUUUAAUAAUAUUUAGCUGCAGAAAAAAAUUCAAAGACCAUUUUUCUAGAUAUAUAAGGUAUUCGAUUUACAUUGUGUGUGUUUAGGUACAAUUGUAAUUUUGGUUUCUUUCUGUGAACUAUUGACAAUAUGUCUACAAAAUUUUAAAUAAAAAUAUUGUUUCUAUUUGCAUUUUUAGCAGAAAAUGAAACUGGAGAAACGGGUCAAAAUAACAGAAACGAUACUCAAAUACUGCAAAUAAAACGUGCACUUUUAAGCAAUGCAACAGUUAUAUUUGUACAUGCAUUCAGGAAAGGUCAGAAAUGUAUUUUUUUAUAUUACUACCCUUGUUUUUUUAUCAGUCUUGUUAUGCUGUCAGUCUUUCACAUGACUUUGUCACUCCUGAGGUUUGAUUUUGUUGAAAUUCAACAACAUUGAACUGGAAUGGCCACAAUACAUCUAGAACUGUUGAUUCAAUGACAAUUUAUGAUGGUCUCUUAAUUUUUCCAUGGAUGUAUUUCACAUCAGCGGUAAAACCUAACAGCAAUGCUCCGGUAAUGGCUUGUAUGGCAAGUUUCGGUUUUAUUGCAAAGUGUUAAAAAACCUAAAAAGAAUUGUAAUUUGUUCAGCAUUUAGCCUUGAAACAUUCUUUUAAGAUCUGACACUGCAUCAAAACCCCUGGGUUAUGAGUGCCGACAGUGAAAACAAAGCUAUUGUGUAUAUAAUGUAGGUGCCGCAGUGAAUAAAAGCUAUGCAUAACAAUUGAGUAACAAUGUUUGAACAAUGAAAGCUGAAUGUAAUGGGGGAAACAUGGCUCAUGUAUCCUGACAGGAAGCUCAGGUCAUAAGACAGGAAGUAGAAAAGGGGCACCUGUCUGUGUGUGUUCUCACAGUGGUGGGUCGAGAGGCAAGCCAUGUCAAUGCAAGUCAUCUUUGUAAGAAAAACUAACACAGCAAGCUAUGGCACAGAUUAAAAUCUAUGUCAAAGAAUGAUGAACCUGUUCUCAUUGAUAGCCAUUUAAAAUGUCCACAAUGAUUUUGUUCCAACGCUGACUU